This 510-nucleotide long non-coding RNA is filed under the name Lynx pardinus (Iberian lynx). The record is from RNAcentral. Lineage: Eukaryota; Metazoa; Chordata; Mammalia; Carnivora; Felidae.
UUUCCCUCCACCAGGGGCUCCUUUCAUAGAUGGCUAAGUGAGGCACUGCCUAGUGGUACAGAGAGAGCUGGAGCCUGUGGAAAAUUCGCCAUUCCUUUGUAGCCAGAAAGCCCUCCUGUGGCCUCCUUUAGGACACACUGGCAGGCACUUCACUUAUGACAAACUGCCCAUCUGUAGCUCAAAGUGGCAAGGAAAAAGGUAGCUCCGUUGAGAGGACACACGGAUUCCUAUAGGUAGACUGCAUUGUGGGGGGAAUCAAGUCCUGCUAUGCGGUUAAUACAGAUUAGUAAAGCGCCCUGCCUCACACCACCGGUGAGACACUCUCCAGGACCUUGGCUGACAUGCAGCUUCUUGGAAGCCCCCUCCUUCAGUGUUCCUGGGGUCCUUUUACCUGUACCGUAUUAAUCGAAUAAUCUUAUUGUUCAUAAAAUCCACAGCGUGUGGGUGAGAAGAAUCGAUGCAGAAGCCAUCACUCAGAGCAAUUUUCAGCACCUCCUCCACGAAGACCUG